Molecule: ribosomal RNA, 650 nt
Filed under: uncultured bacterium
Lineage: Bacteria
Description: bacterial SSU rRNA
Rfam family: Bacterial small subunit ribosomal RNA
Source: RNAcentral
AGAGUUUGAUCAUGGCUCAGAACGAACGCUGGCGGCACGCCUAACACAUGCAAGUCGAGCGCAGUCCUUCGGGACCGAGCGGCGGACGGGUUAGUAACGCGUGGGAACAUACCCUUCUCUACGGAAUAGCCUCGGGAAACUGAGAGUAAUACCGUAUAAGCCCUUCGGGGGAAAGAUUUAUCGGUGAAGGAUUGGCCCGCGUAAGAUUAGAUAGUUGGUGGGGUAAUGGCCUACCAAGUCUACGAUCUUUAGCUGGUUUGAGAGGAUGAUCAGCAACACUGGGACUGAGACACGGCCCAGACUCCUACGGGAGGCAGCAGUGGGGAAUCUUAGACAAUGGGGGAAACCCUGAUCUAGCGAUGCCGCGUGUGUGACGAAGGCCUUAGGGUCGUAAAGCACUUUCGCCAAGGAUGAUAAUGACAGUACUUGGUAAAGAAACCCCGGCUAACUCCGUGCCAGCAGCCGCGGUAAUACGGAGGGGGUUAGCGUUGUUCGGAAUUACUGGGCGUAAAGCGCACGUAGGCGGACUUUUAAGUUAGAGGUGAAAUCCUAGGGCUCAACCCUGGAACUGCCUUUAAUACUGGAAGUCUUGAGUUCGAGAGAGGUAAGUGGAAUUCCAAGUGUAGAGGUGAAAUUCGUAGAUAUUUGGA